UGCCUCACUCGCUCUUUUGAUUUGUGUCU
Molecule: non-coding RNA, 29 nt
Filed under: Mus musculus (house mouse)
Lineage: Eukaryota; Metazoa; Chordata; Mammalia; Rodentia; Muridae
Source: RNAcentral